UCAAGGUUCCGCUCUGGAACCUCCGGACGACGGUUCAGUACCCGGUGCGCGACAAGACUGGCCAAA
Molecule: non-coding RNA, 66 nt
Organism: Arthrobacter sp. AK-YN10
Lineage: Bacteria; Bacillati; Actinomycetota; Actinomycetes; Micrococcales; Micrococcaceae
Source: Rfam